Molecule: ribosomal RNA, 815 nt
Filed under: Taraka mahanetra
Lineage: Eukaryota; Metazoa; Arthropoda; Insecta; Lepidoptera; Lycaenidae
Description: eukaryotic LSU rRNA
Rfam family: Eukaryotic large subunit ribosomal RNA
Source: RNAcentral
AACGGAGAGAUUCACCGCCAUUCGGCGGCGUACGGGCGUACGGCCCGAUGCGCCUCGGUGCGGUCUAGGCCGUAUCGUCGGCGCACGGGUGGCGUCCGUCGACGUCCGUCGACGGCGUGCACUUCUCUCUCAGUAAUGCAUCGCGACACGUUCGCGGUCGGUCUAAGCGCCGUCCGGGAGUCCGACGGCGGACGCUCCGGCGUCCUCCGUCGUACCGCGACCGGUUGCCGGCCGGCCGUUGUGCGGACGUUAACAAAGGAUGGAUAUAGAAUACGCUCUCGUAGCGAAUCGCGCACGCGCACCUAACGCGCGCGUCCGGCCCGACGCAAGCUGACGUACGUCGCCGACCGUCCUGCCCGAGUGCGGACGUCGGCGCGACGCUGUUGUCUGUUGUGUUGUGCAGUCUCGGACCGUGCGCGUAUCUGUCUGCGAUGAUUCAGUUUCGGGCACUCGCAGGACCCGUCUUGAAACACGGACCAAGGAGUCUAGCAUGUGUGCGAGUCAUCGAGUUUGAUUGACAAUGGACAAAACUGAAAGGCGCAACGAAAGUGAAGGCGCGCGCUUGACGCGCACGCUCAGGGAGGAUGGAGCCUCGGUGUACACUAUCGAGCUCUCGCACUCCCGAGGCGUCUCGUUUCCAAUCAGUGAAUGCAGGCGCGCUCUGAGCACAGGUGCUGGGACCCGAAAGAUGGUGAACUAUGCCUGGUCAGGUCGAAGUCAGGGGAAACCCUGAUGGAGGACCGUAGCGAUUCUGACGUGCAAAUCGAUCGUCGGAACUGGGUAUAGGGGCGAAAGACUAAUCGAACCAUCUAGUA